RNAcentral lists this ribosomal RNA (253 nucleotides) under uncultured bacterium. RNAcentral describes it as "partial 16S ribosomal RNA". It matches the Rfam family "Bacterial small subunit ribosomal RNA", at positions 524 to 776 of the family's 1533-position model. The record is from RNAcentral.
UACGGAGGGUGCAAGCGUUAUCCGGAUUCACUGGGUUUAAAGGGUGCGUAGGCGGAUAGGUAAGUCCGUGGUGAAAUCCUGCAGCUUAACUGCAGAACUGCCAUGGAUACUAUUUAUCUUGAAUGUCGUGGAGGUUAGCAGAAUAUGUCAUGUAGCGGUGAAAUGCUUAGAUAUGACAUAGAAUACCCAUUGCGAAGGCAGCUUACUACCCGAAUAUUGACACUGAGGCACGAAAGCGUGGGGAGCAAACAGG